GGCGCACGGGUCGAUGCGCGCGCGGGGGGGCCGCGGACUGGUGCCGUGUCCCAGAGAAGUCGCUGCUCGGAUCUCCGCCACCCUCGGAGUUGGCACCUUCCAAGACCGACCAGGAUGGGCAGAGGGGCCAGACGCCUCCACAUGCAUCGCUUAUCCAGGACCGGGACCCAGCUAGCCCCAGGACCGGAAUCCAGCCACCGCCCCCCACCCCGGGUCCGGCUACCCGCGAUCGCGCUGUGUUGGAGAAAGUGUUGGUCCUGGUCCGUGGGGUGACUUGGCUAUUUGGCAGCGGGGUCGGGUCCUAUUGUGGGUGUGCCACACUUUUCCCCCUUGGUCCGGCUGACCAGCUUCGAGAUUGUGGCUGGUCUCGAAGUCUGGGGGCGGCCAGGCUACUUCGGGGCAAAAGCAGCGAGGCCCAUUAGACUCACGCUCUCCCUCUCUGCACCGCCCUGGAACUCUGGGCGUCUGGGUGUCCCCUCUCCCCCUCAGCUGUCACCCCACCCUCAGCCAUGCCACCGCUCUGCAGUCCCAGCCCUGGCCUGCGCGCAGGGAAGGAGAUACGAGGUGGAGAGGUUGCGCUCCCUGGGGUCUCUCCUGUGCCUGUCACAUCUGUACUUAUUUAAAGCUCAGCUGGUGGCCUCUCUCUUUCCCUGGAAUUGCCAAUUGCAGGCCUAGCCCUCGGAAGAUAUUUGCGUUGAUUAGCGAGCGGGUCAUGGAGAGGGGGGUAGUGGACUGCAGCGGACACCCCGAGGCUCAGUAUCUUCUGCCUACCCCAUCCAUCCCUCCAGCCAGCUUGCGAAUGCCCGCUGCACGAGAUUGCUGAGUGCGUCAGGGCGCGGAGAACCGAACUUCAGGAACGGUUGGAUGUGUAUGGGAACCGACAGUUUCUGCUGGGGGUACUGCGUUCUAGUCUGGUGAACACACACACACACACACCCCUAAAGUUUCAGAGGUGUCCCCAGCGAAUCACACAGAGAAAGUCUGCAGUGUUUCCACUCCAGGCGCUACAAGUGUAUUUGUAAGUGUGGCAUACACAGAUUUCUCGGUAUAAAACUCUUUAUUAAAUGUUUACUGGGGCAAGUCCAUAAAAGAUGUGAUGGAGCCGCCUCACUUCCAGGGCUGCACACAAAGCUAAGACAGACAGGAGUCCUGCGUCUGAGAGCUGGGUCAAGUUCAUCAGUAAAUAAUAAUAAUAAUAAUAAAUAAUAAUAAGCUGUGUUCCAAUUUAUAAGACGCCCACGGUGUGGUUGUGGGUGUGGAUGGGAGGGGGCCCUUGCGCCUAUGAUUGGGAACUUCAUGAGCCUCAAAACAAGUCUGUUCUGAUUUUGUGUUUACCUUUGGACUUGGUAUAACUGAGGGUGAAAAUAAGACUCCCUCUGUAUUUCUGUUCCCCCUUGCUUUUCUGCAAAAGCCUUUUACCCCAGAGCAAAGUUGUUUUAGUAAUCUGGGAACGAGGAAUUGUGUGCUGAAUCAGCAAAAAGAAGAAGAAGAAAAAAAAAAGGGAGCACCAGGCCAGUUCAGGUCAAUAAUACUGCUAUGUGUAAUGUACACACUCUAUACGCCUUUGUGGAAAUAAUCAAAAAAUAUAUUGGAAUUUUUCGCAGCUUAAGAAAUGUCCACAAAGCCUGCUGGCAGCAGUGAGGCCAAAAUUGGGUAAGAGCUGUCUGUAUCUUCUUAACACAAAGAAGUACACCCCAAAUGCGUAACAAGUGUUAGAUUCCACACCAGCACCUUACCUGGGGGUGAAAGAGAAACACGAAUCUCAACAUAAAAUACUCAUUUUUCCAAUGGUCAGGUUGCAGAACAGAGGCACUGUUCCUGCCUGUUCUGUGACAAAUGUUCAAGGUGGUCUAGUGGACGGAACCCUUUUUCAAAAAAAUUUUGCAUUAAUAAAAAUGCUUCUCAAGCAUAGCAUCUUUAAA
Jaculus jaculus (lesser Egyptian jerboa) is the source of this 1922-nucleotide long non-coding RNA. RefSeq lists it as uncharacterized. The transcript has 2 exons. The record is from RefSeq and is a predicted model, not a curated record. NCBI's taxonomy places the organism in Eukaryota, Metazoa, Chordata, Mammalia, Rodentia, Dipodidae.